AGUUGCCUCCUUUUGGAGUCUUUUAGUGAGCCCAGGACAAGGAUUUCAAAGUUUUCAUAGGCUUUUGUACUCUAAAUACUUCAAGGAUCAACAGCUCAAGUGGGAAAACUAAAAGGUUUUCUAGAGAUAUCAGUUACCUUCCAGCUGAGGUGGUAACACUAGAGUGGAAAAAUUCCAGCGCUGUUAAUGAAGAUGAGGAACUAACACAAGAGGAUUUUGGUUGGUGUUCCUAUAUUCAGGAAUAAGGGUCUUGAGCUGUGUCACAAAGGCAAGAACAACAGAAAUAGUUAAGAAGAUAACUUAAAGCUGAAUUACUAACGUGUCUCAUAGAGCUCUAAUUGUGAAGAGGAUUUCAUUGUCACAUGGUGAAGAAGUAAUAGACAUUACCCUGGGCAUAAUUUCAAUAAUUUUUUUACUUGUUUUACAUUGUAUCUUAAGUCAGUGAACUGGCUCACCUCUAAUAGUAUAUUUGCAGCAGUGGCAUGAGUUACUGACAUCAUUUAUUUAGACAAGUAUAAACCAGAAAAAAAUCACAGUAUAAUAAAUGCCUGUCAGCCUCAUUGCCAAUGUAGGAAGUAACAUCAUCACUAGAUGUAGAAAGAAUAUUACAGAGACAUCAAGACAGCAAUAUAUAUUGACAUAUGUAUUAAACUUUCAAUUUUC
Long non-coding RNA from Lagopus leucura (white-tailed ptarmigan), 663 nucleotides. RefSeq lists it as uncharacterized. The transcript has 4 exons. The record is from RefSeq and is a predicted model, not a curated record. Lineage: Eukaryota; Metazoa; Chordata; Aves; Galliformes; Phasianidae.